UAUGCACACACUGGCUGUUCUGUGUAAAAUCUGUCAAACAAAAGAUAUUAAAUUUGUUUUUACUUGAAAUAGAGUUAGGGCACUGGCUAACUAAAAGCGAGUUUUGGGAACUCUCUAUUCUGGACAAAGGUGUAUGGUGAAUUGAAUGCAGCACGUGCUUGACAUAUAUGUAAAUAACACAAUGUUGGAAGUGGACAAAAUGUUGGAAAAAUGCGGCGAUUUCAGUCGGCAGCAGCUAAUCAUGCUGUUACUCUGUUCUCUGAAACGCGGUUCGGUUCCCUGACUCGUAGAUUGAUCAGAGAUUAACUGCUGCCGACUGAAAUCGCCGCAUUUUUCCAACAUUUUGUCCACUUCCAACAUUGUGUUAUUUACAUAUAUGUCAAGCACGUGUUGUGUUAAAGAAUAUCAAGUCUAUUACCAAAGACAAUAUAUGUUUAUAUUGUCUUUGGUAUUACCACCAAAUUGUGUAUAGCGGCAAUUUUGAGGACGUGUUCUUCUUACUACAGCCUGCGGAUGGGGCCAAUAACAAUAGCAAAAUUGCCAUUCAAUAGAUCUUCAAGCUGUGGUAUGACUGAUGGACUUUCAAGAUACUUAAGGUGUUGGCUUCACCCUGUUCUGUACCCACCCACCUCCGACCAGGACAAAGAAUUCAACAAGUCUUAACGUGUGGUUGUCUUGAAUGAUAAUAAAUGUUACUAUGUCAGGAAA
Drosophila montana is the source of this 708-nucleotide long non-coding RNA. RefSeq lists it as uncharacterized. The transcript has 2 exons. NCBI's taxonomy places the organism in Eukaryota, Metazoa, Arthropoda, Insecta, Diptera, Drosophilidae. The record is from RefSeq and is a predicted model, not a curated record.